UACGAAGGGGGCUAGCGUUGCUCGGAAUCAUUGGGCGUAAAGGGUGCGUAGGCGGCGCGGUAAGUCGGGUGUGAAAGUCUCGGAGCUUAACUCCGAAACUGCAAUUCGAUACUGCCGUGCUUGAGGACUGGAGAGGAGACUGGAAUUCCUGGUGAUAGCGGUGAAAUGACGCAGAUAUCAGGAGGAACACCGAUGGCGAAGGCAGGUCUCUGGGCCGAUACUGACGCUGGAGGAGCGAAAGCGUGGGGAGCGAACAGG
RNAcentral lists this ribosomal RNA (258 nucleotides) under uncultured bacterium. RNAcentral's name for it is "partial 16S ribosomal RNA". It matches the Rfam family "Bacterial small subunit ribosomal RNA", at positions 524 to 776 of the family's 1533-position model. The record is from RNAcentral.